Molecule: ribosomal RNA, 403 nt
Filed under: uncultured bacterium
Lineage: Bacteria
Description: partial 16S ribosomal RNA
Rfam family: Bacterial small subunit ribosomal RNA
Source: RNAcentral
AUUGAACGCUGGCGGCAGGCCUAACACAUGCAAGUCGAGCGAGCGGCGGACGGGUGAGUCAUGUAUGGGGACUGCUCGACAGAGGGGGUUAACUACUGGAAAUGGUUGCUAAUACCGCAUACUGUCGGAUAACCCCUAUGGGAUGAGCUAGUAGGUAAGGUAAUGUCUUACCUAGGCGACGAGCCCUAGCUGGUCUGAGAGGAGGAUCAGCGACACGGGAACUGAGAAAAGGCCCAGACGACUACGGAGGGAGCAGUGGAGAAGAUUGCACAAUGGGCGCAAGCCAGCUGCAGCGAUGCCGGGUGGGUGAGGAGGGCACUAAGGUUGAAAAGUACUUUCGGUCGGGAGGCGUUACCGACUGAAGAAGAACCGGCUGACUCCGUGCCAGCAGCCGCGGUAAUUC